GAUGAACGCUAGCGACAGGCCUAACACAUGCAAGUCGAGGGGCAGCACAUGAGUAGCAAUACGAUGGUGGCGACCGGCGCACGGGUGAGUAACACGUAUGCAACCUGCCCUUCUACUAUGGGAUAACCCGUUGAAAGACCGGACUAAUACCGUAUAAUACAGGGGCUCCGCAUGGAGAUAUUUGUUAAAGAUUUAUUGGUAGAAGAUGGGCAUGCGUAUGAUUAGAUAGUUGGUGAGGUAACGGCUCACCAAGUCAACGAUCAUUAGGGGUUCUGAGAGGAAGGUCCCCCACACUGGUACUGAGACACGGACCAGACUCCUACGGGAGGCAGCAGUGAGGAAUAUUGGUCAAUGGACGAGAGUCUGAACCAGCCAAGUCGCGUGAAGGAAGACGGUUCUAUGAAUUGUAAACUUCUUUUGUGCAGGAAUAAAGUGGGUUACGUGUAACCUUUUGUAUGUACUGUACGAAUAAGGAUCGGCUAACUCCGUG
Molecule: ribosomal RNA, 490 nt
Filed under: uncultured bacterium
Lineage: Bacteria
Description: bacterial SSU rRNA
Rfam family: Bacterial small subunit ribosomal RNA
Source: RNAcentral